UACGUAGGGUGCAAGCGUUAAUCGGAAUUACUGGGCGUAAAGCGUGCGCAGGCGGUUGUGCAAGACCGAUGUGAAAUCCCCGGGCUUAACCUGGGAAUGGCAUUGGUGACUGCACGGCUAGAGUGUGUCAGAGGGGGGUAGAAUUCCACGUGUAGCAGUGAAAUGCGUAGAGAUGUGGAGGAAUACCGAUGGCGAAGGCAGCCCCCUGGGAUAACACUGACGCUCAUGCCCGAAAGCGUGGGGAGCAAACAGG
RNAcentral lists this ribosomal RNA (253 nucleotides) under uncultured bacterium. RNAcentral describes it as "partial 16S ribosomal RNA". It matches the Rfam family "Bacterial small subunit ribosomal RNA", at positions 524 to 776 of the family's 1533-position model. The record is from RNAcentral.